This 253-nucleotide ribosomal RNA is filed under the name uncultured bacterium. RNAcentral's name for it is "partial 16S ribosomal RNA". It matches the Rfam family "Bacterial small subunit ribosomal RNA", at positions 524 to 776 of the family's 1533-position model. The record is from RNAcentral.
UCCAGAGGGGGCAAGCGUUGUUCGGAAUUACUGGGCGUAAAGGGCUCGUAGGCGGCCAACUAAGUCGGACGUGAAAUCCCCAGGCUCAACCUGGGAACUGCGUCCGAUACUGGAUGGCUUGAAUCCGGGAGAGGGAUGCAGAAUUCCAGGUGUAGCGGUGAAAUGCGUAGAUAUCUGGAGGAAUACCGGUGGCGAAGGCGGCAUCCUGGACCGGCAUUGACGCUGAGGAGCGAAAGCCAGGGGAGCAAGCGGG